AUAUAUAUAUAUAUAUAUGUAUAUAUAUAUAUAUAUAUGUAUAUACAUACGUAUACGUUAUUGGUACGAGUUAUUGGCCAGGUUAUUGGUACGAGAAUACUGACUGGAUAAACUUAGUAUGUAUAAAUGCGUAUGUACAUAUAUGUAUAUAUGCACAUUUAUACAUUUAUUGAACUAGUAUAUAGAAAUCUUCACCUUAUUAGAAGAAGGUUGUAUAAAUAUAAUACACGCCAUGGCCGAUUUUCAUUCAGCAGAUUUCGAAAGAAGAUUACUUCAUCUUUUUAUUUGUAGUUCCUUCGAUAUGAAAGUUUCGAGUACGGUAUGUCUGGCAGCUGUAGUUGAGAGUAGUCAGUUUUGUCUAUGGAUCGUGACCUGAUUCCACUGUAUAAAUUAUGGGUCUACACGUGACACACAUCUCUGAUGUACGAGCUGCAUUGUAUACCACAAAUACGAGUACAUAUAACUUAUACCUGUAUAAAGUACUUUCAGGAAGAUUUUGAUAGCUCUUCAAAUAUCCUGCAGAUGUUAUUCUCUAUCUCUCUCUUCUCCUUUUUUUCUCUCUUUUUUUUUUUUCUUUUUUUAU
Vespula vulgaris is the source of this 583-nucleotide long non-coding RNA. RefSeq lists it as uncharacterized. The record is from RefSeq and is a predicted model, not a curated record. The transcript is spliced from 4 exons. NCBI's taxonomy places the organism in Eukaryota, Metazoa, Arthropoda, Insecta, Hymenoptera, Vespidae.